AUUGAACGCUGGCGGCAUGCCUUACACAUGCAAGUCGAACGGCAGCACAGAGGAGCUUGCUCCUUGGGUGGCGAGUGGCGGACGGGUGAGGAAUACAUCGGAAUCUACUCUGUCGUGGGGGAUAACGUAGGGAAACUUACGCUAAUACCGCAUACGACCUACGGGUGAAAGCAGGGGACCUUCGGGCCUUGCGCGAUUGAAUGAGCCGAUGUCGGAUUAGCUAGUUGGCGGGGUAAAGGCCCACCAAGGCGCAGAUCCGGAGCUGGUCUGAGAGGAUGAUCAGCCACACUGGAACUGAGACACGGUCCAGACGACUACGGGAGGCAGCAGUGGGGAAUAUUGGACAAUGGGCGCAAGCCUGAUCCAGCCAUACCGCGUGGGUGAAGAAGGCCUUCGGGUUGUAAAGCCCUUUUGUUGGGAAAGAAAUCCAGCCGGCUAAUACCUGGUUGGGAUGACGGUACCCAAAGAAUAAGCACCGGCUAACUUCGUGCCAGCCGCCGCCGUAA
Molecule: ribosomal RNA, 506 nt
Filed under: uncultured bacterium
Lineage: Bacteria
Description: partial 16S ribosomal RNA
Rfam family: Bacterial small subunit ribosomal RNA
Source: RNAcentral